UUGGCUACACCUUGACUUGUCUUGACAAC
RNAcentral lists this non-coding RNA (29 nucleotides) under Mus musculus (house mouse). Lineage: Eukaryota; Metazoa; Chordata; Mammalia; Rodentia; Muridae. The record is from RNAcentral.